CCUUGAAAUGUUUUCUUGUUUCGCUCCUCCGUGCGGGACUUCUGAAUACCGGUGGCACGCGCUUUACGCUCGCCGAGCGAGGUGUUUCCGAGGUGCGUUGCAUCAUCAGUCAAAGCGUUCAGUUGAAGAGUUCUCACGCGAAGCGAGUCGGGAACGCCGUGCAACUGUCGGCUUCAGCGGUCCAGGUGCGACUGCUAUGACCGACGUGCUCGCACCUGAAGUUGCACCUGAGGUUGCACACAAGAUACACAAGGGGUACGCAAGGCAAGAAUCAACUUUUGAAGUUGCAUCUACAUUCUGGUAUAACAAGUUACGGUUUCUCGCUGUGUGCUGCUGUAACGAAACCGCGACCACAUGGAGGACGCUAUGAACGCCGUACCCACGGUUCGUCUACCUAGCGACUUGGUGGCUCAGGCUCAAAAGUCCAUCGAGCCGUCGAUCAAGUCGCCGCCCAGUCCAUCAAGCCGUCGGUCGACGUCCCCGGAACUGAGUCAGGCUGUCCAGCCAGUCUCGCUGCUGACGGUGGCAUGAGAAAACGGGAUCGAGGUGCAGUCCCACAUUAUGUGUGUGAGUGUUCCUGUUCGUGAACAGGAACAUCAUUGGCGCGUAUGUAGUCGGUGUGAUUAGAUGUGCGUGGCGUGUGUGCGUGUGAUCGGUGGGCGCGGUAUAUCAUUUUUCACCCAACACUUGGAGU
Molecule: long non-coding RNA, 694 nt
Organism: Dermacentor albipictus
Lineage: Eukaryota; Metazoa; Arthropoda; Arachnida; Ixodida; Ixodidae
Source: RefSeq, a predicted model, not a curated record